RNAcentral lists this ribosomal RNA (849 nucleotides) under Triticum aestivum (bread wheat). RNAcentral's name for it is "partial small subunit ribosomal RNA". Lineage: Eukaryota; Viridiplantae; Streptophyta; Magnoliopsida; Poales; Poaceae. The record is from RNAcentral.
AUGGGGUCCUUUAUUCGGCCGGAGGUCUUCUGUGCUGCAGCUAGACUUGCUCAAGAGAUCCGUCUUGCGAUUGGUACGGCAAGCAUGGCCUAUCUUUACCAAAGUCUUGAUAAUGUUUGUCAAGAGAUUAUAGCCGGAUCAAAGUCAGCAAGUGAGUGCCAACUGCCAUUACCUGCACAUUUUAUUAUGGGCUGGUUCUCCUCUUAUUGGAAAAUGACACCUUCACAACCAGCGGUGAAUCCAAAAAUUACUCACUUCCCGCCGUUCGUGACGGACGCAUGGAGAAUCACAUCUACAGUAAUUGAUCUGUUCAAAGCCCAUCAGUUGUUCCUUGACUCAGCUGCAGAUAGCAAAUCUCUGCUUUCCUUAUCUUUCUUGGGGAAAUCUCGCAUACGUUUCCCUCAUUGUGGUGUGGGUGCUGUUACACAUACUCAAUGUCAACUCCAUCACAACUUGGUAUAUUCCCCUCAUCGUUUUGCUCGGAUGCAUGGGUGUGAUCAAGAUGUCCCUGACUUCCUGAUGGAAGGACCCAAUGGAGAAUAUCUUCUGCAGUUUUCUAGUUAUUUGAAGGGCACCCGUGAGGAAACAAUUGAGCACCUUCAGCGACGACACCUGGCUUACUACUUUCCAACCGGUCAUCAGCUUCAUUUACAGCCCUUGUCACGGCGAACCAAGCGCUCUAUUGAGUAUGUGACGUGGUGUACAUCAGCACUUGGUUUCCUCACUAAAGCUGAUAUGAUCUGUUCAGGUCAAGAACCAUCAUCUGCUCUCCAGAAAGGGGAGAUUGAAAUACCUUCUAACACAGAUCCAGAAGAAAAAUUCAACAAAGAUGAAUCUUGCCUCCACUAG